Corvus hawaiiensis (hawaiian crow) is the source of this 4229-nucleotide long non-coding RNA. RefSeq lists it as uncharacterized. The record is from RefSeq and is a predicted model, not a curated record. The transcript has 2 exons. Lineage: Eukaryota; Metazoa; Chordata; Aves; Passeriformes; Corvidae.
GUUUUGAUAACAGCCAUGGUGAUGUGUCAGGCUGGCAGAUCGCCAGAGCUGCUGUUGCUGUGCUGCUGUUCUGGACAGGCUGGAACUCCAGCAUGAACUCAAGUGGAAGGGCCUGUGAUCUGUGGGUGAGUCUAUGUGGGAGCUGGACACCCUGAGGCAUCUGUGGCCUUGGAUAAGCCCAUGCCAGAGCAGGUGCAUCUCACAGCAUCUGUGGCUGUGUACCACAGCAGCUGGACCUCUGAAGGGGGAUUGUGGCCCAAGGGAUUAUGUUUUUUGACUUCCUGGCAAAUUUUCUCCUGGAGUAAACCUGAAAAAAGUUAGAAAUUCAAGAAAAUCAGCCCAAUUCCAACCUUUGCUGUUCAGUGUUAUUUCAGAUAUAUGAAAUUAAAUGGGGGAUGGUUGCUGGAGAGAGAGCUUCUGAGAAGCCUGGAAUGAGCUCAGGCAUUUGAAAUGUUUGGGGAUAUUCUGAAAAACUCCUGCCACUGGGCCAGUCCUUUUCCUUCGAUGAGUAAGCAGACUCUUCUGACUGCAUUUAUUUAGUAUGUGCUGAGCUAGGUCAACGAAUGGCCUGCUUGAAGAUCCCAGGCAAGGAGUUUCCAGCAGACACUGGCAACUGCCCUCCUCAACUGGGGUCUAAUUUCCAACAGGAGCAAAGCCAAGCUCAACAAUGAAGUUAAAAGUCAAACCAUGAAUAAACUGACUUCCUUACAUUGUAAAUACAUCAGAAAAGGGCAGCAGUUCAAAAGGGAAAAUGAGCAAAACUCUGAUUAUUUUCCUUGAAACUGAGUCCCAGGGGGUGAUUGUCCAUUGAGAUGCCCCCAGGAGAGUGGUGCUGCGCCAAGAAGCAAGAGAGUUACGGUAGGACAUGGCCAAGAAGCCUCCAAAGUAUUGCACAACAGGAAUUUGGGUACAGCGUAACAAUCGGCUGAGGAAUGGGAAAACGGUUCUCAAAAACCUUAUUCCUGAGCUAAGCCAGAUUCUCAGGCCAUCUUGAAGCUUAAUUUUGAUUCUUCAGCUGCGUUGGGUGGGGGUGGUUUUUCACCGAUGCGUAUGUGGUAACACACAUUGGAUGCGGAUCAAGUCAUCAUGAGAAAGUAGCUACAGGCCAAAAAAAAAGGUCAUAAUGCUCCAAUUUAUAGUCUUGUAGUUUAGGUGGACUGAGAGCUCUGUUAAGGUUCUCCCCCUUUGGAGCUCUAAAGGCACUGUAAAAUGACGAGAGGUUUUGAUCUGGCAAGUGCAAGCUCAGGACAAAUCCACCUUAAUCUUGGAAGUAACAAAAGGGCGGCAAAUAAAACUGUUCAGCCUUUAAAACCAAAAUUGAAAAGAACAAACCUCUAUGGCCUACAGAAUGGAAAGCAGAGGAAGUUGUUCAUCAGGGAGUACUGGAAGCAAUGGAGAUGAGUUUAUUUAUGGAUUGUGUAAAUUACUGUUAUCUGCUUUCCAGUCCAACAUACACUCGGGAUCUCUAGGAUUUGGAAGCUGGGUAUCUGUGCCAAGGUUUCAGAUCUCUCCCCCCACCCCUGCAAAAAAAAUUUAUUGUUUAAAGAAUCUACCUGCAUUAUUAUACUCUCUGUGAAGGCUGCAGUAAAUGGCCACUCUUCUUUCCAUUAGUUUUAUUACUGAGAACCUCCCUGUUCUGCCUCUUUGCUCCUGCUUUAAUUGAAGCUCUGCUAGCAGAUAGCCAUCAGAAAAGACAUCUGCAAUUCAAUUAGAUCUGUGCUUAAACUCAUAAUCUCUGUGAAACCGGCCUCUGCCAGAACAGAGUGUCCUCCAUGGGCUCACUGGGCCUGCAGCCUGCAGUGCUUUGCAGUUUGUCCUCCCUCCUGCCCUGCUAGCCCCGCUUACAAGUGCUUAAAAUGAAGACCCAUUCCCCACAGGAGGCUUGUAGGAGCUGAUUUCCUCUUCCUCGCAAAGCCAGAGAGAAGCUGGAAACUUGGCACCACUGAGAGGCCAUGAAACCAGCUUUGUAAUGAACUGAAAGUGGUUGCUGCAGAGUAGAAUCUUUCUGCCAUGGGAGGUAGGAUGUUAAGGAGUUUCAAAGGUGAUCCAGGGGUAAUUUAUUGCAUCUUUUGCACAGACAUGAAAGCAUGAUGAAUUUAUAGGAAUGUCCAUACCAAAAGAAAUUGGACUGUUUCACUGUUUUAAUUCAGUCUCUGAUGCUGUAAGUGGCCCAUUUCCGUAGUGCCAGCUGCUCUAGGGCCACCAUUCCUGCUUGCAGUGACCCUAUGAGGUGACUGAGGUGAGGACCAAACAUCUGGACAGGCCAGACCACUGAACCCGCGCAAGGAACAGCUCUUUGGAAAUAUUUCCAUGACCCUAGAUGUAAAUGUGGUCUCUAAGUGGUGUCAGGCUGGUCCCUGACACAAACCACAACCUUGUUUACAAGUGCUCCAGAAGGAUGUUACAAAGUGCUUCAGUGGUCUUACUUAAAGCAUUUGUAAAAACUGAUUACAAUGGCUUGCAAAAUCAAAAGUGAAAGAAGCCGCCAGAAGGGGGGUUUGUGUGGGCUUCUUUGUGGAAAAGAUGCAGUUGAUGAAAACCCUGGAUCUGAGGAGAAAUGAAAAGUGAAGGUGAGUGUGGAGAGUGGAUUUGAUUUGCAGCACACUGCAAACUCCCUUGCCUUCAGGGAGAAGUGACCCCCAGUUGAUAGAGGGGAAAACUGAAUACUUACCUGGGAUGCGAGAAAAUCGAAUGGGGAUCAGAGCAAUGCAGGUGAGUGUAGCAGAUGGGUUGGAGUGCUGUACCUGUCUGUGCCCCUGAGUACAGGGUUUAGCAAAGCCUUGGUGAGAAGCCUGCAGCCAUGGGCUUUCUCCAUCUGCCUUUCACAAUAUUGUUUUUACUGUAUUUUUAAUAAAUGAAGUGAAAUCUUACAGGAGAAGGAAAGUCUAGCAGGGGUCCCUAUCUGUUUUAAAGAGUUGACCGUGAGGAGGUUUGGGGCUGCUUUUCUACUGGAGCAUCCUCAAGGCCUGCAGUGUUUUUCUUGCUCCUGGACAAUCUGGGUUUUGGCAGAACACAUGUAUGUGCCCAGACCCCCCUGGCCAUCCAUGCUGAGCCCGUUGGCUCAAGAGGUGGAAGGCCUGUAAGACAGGUGGCACGGGAGCUUCCAGCUGGCCACUGCCCACCCACCCUUCCCUCGUGAGGGUUGUGCCCCCAGCUAGUGGGUGAGGCACAUGGAACUAGGAGAGGGCUGCACCUCUGCACCCUUUAGCCCAGGGGAAAACACUUCCUCUUUCCAUGGAUUUUCUUAUUUCAUCUCAGCAUUGCUGCUCAUGGGCACUCUGGAGGUAAAAUUAACUUGUACCACAGUUCUCUUUACAUUUCACCACCCUGCUUCAGUGGCAAGCACCCCCUUAUUUUAAAAAGUUUCCUUUUGGGGAUGUGAAAGUACAGGUAUCAGUUGUUAGUAAUUUAGAGAGGAAAGAAUUCUUGUAUCAAUGCUAAAAAACCUAAUGUAAAUAUAAAACACUCUGUAGAAGGCAACAGCAGUUCUGCACACAGUGAUGUACAUCCCAGGGGGAAGAAAGAAUCCAUCCAGCAAAGCCUGGCAUUUCAUUGCUGAUCCAGCUCCUGGAAGACCAGCCAAGCUAGGGAAAGGUUGAAAUGAAAACACAUGCACCCUUUUGAGAUGUUGUAUAUGAAAACUCUCAGACGUUAAUUUUCCUUUUAGAAAGAGAGAAAAGAAAGGCAACCUUUAUUUUUGGUCUAAAUUUUCACAAAACACCAUUUCUAUAUAUACUUAACAUCAGUUAAGUUUGCCAGUGAGGCUACUUGGCAACAUCAGUACAGAGAAAGGAUAUAUCACCUAUCAUCUGUGAUAGGGUGAUAAGAAAGGAUAAACCUUCAGUAUUGCUAAUUUCUGAUGACCUUAUCGUAAUGCCAGAUAGAUUUGAUGUUCCCAUUAAAAUGCGAGCUCCUGAAAUAAUGCUGCUCCUGUGAGACUUGUACCAUCUAUUAAGAAUGAGUCAGCCUUGGGUUUCUGGGUAAAAGAGCUGAAAAUAUCAACGAGCUGCAAUAUACCAAGCUAGAAAUCAGAAAAGAAAUAAGAGAAAAAAAAAUCCGAAAUUGCUUUUUAAGAUUAAAUGACAUAUUUGGCCUGAAAUUUUGGAUAGUUUGACAACUCUGAAAUCAUUUUGCAGCAAACCUGUGUUGUGACAGUGACACAAUCUGCCUUUGGUGUCAUGGUGCCCUGAUCCUGCAACAAGUUAAUUAAAGAUUUGGGGUUAAACAAA